CAGCCGCCGCGGUAAUACGUAGGGGGCGAGCGUUACCCGGAUUCACUGGGCGUAAAGGGGGUGUAGGCGGCUCGGUAAGUCGGGUGUGAAAUCCCACGGCUCAACCGUGGAAUUGCGCCCGAAACUGCCGAGCUUGGGGCCGGUAGAGGGAGACGGAACUGCCGGUGUAGGGGUGAAAUCCGUAGAUAUCGGCAGGAACGCCGGUGGGGAAGCCGGCCUCCUGGGCCGCGCCCGACGCUGAGGCCCGAAAGCUAGGGGAGCAAACCGGAUUAGAUACCCGGGUAGUCCUAGCCGUAAACGAUGCCCACUAGGUGUGGGGGAGUAUUUCCUCCGUGCUGGAGCUAACGCGUUAAGUGGGCCGCCUGGGGAGUACGCCCGCAAGGGUGAAACUUAAAGGAAUUGGCGGG
This 407-nucleotide ribosomal RNA is filed under the name uncultured microorganism. RNAcentral's name for it is "bacterial SSU rRNA". It matches the Rfam family "Bacterial small subunit ribosomal RNA", at positions 509 to 917 of the family's 1533-position model. The record is from RNAcentral.